UAGGUAGGUGGUCUCGUUUGUCUAGGGUGAAAUCCCGGAGCUUAACUCCGGAAGUGCCCUGGAAACGGCGAGACUGGAGUCCUGGAGAGGAUCGUGGAAUUCCCGGUGUAGCGGUGAAAUGCGUAGAGAUCGGGAGGAACACCAGAGGCGAAGGCGGCGAUCUGGACAGGUACUGACACUCAACUACGAAAGCGUGGGGAGCAAACAGGAUUAGAUACCCUGGUAGUCCACGCUGUAAACGAUCGGUACUAGGUUUGGUGGGUCUUGACCCCCGCCGAGCCGUAGCUAACGCGAUAAGUACCGCGCCUGGGGAGUACGGUCGCAAGACUAAA
Molecule: ribosomal RNA, 332 nt
Filed under: uncultured bacterium
Lineage: Bacteria
Description: bacterial SSU rRNA
Rfam family: Bacterial small subunit ribosomal RNA
Source: RNAcentral